UCUCGAGUACGAAUUGCUUCUAUGACUA
This 28-nucleotide small RNA is filed under the name Bombyx mori (domestic silkworm). RNAcentral describes it as "piRNA piR-bmo-1705907". The record is from RNAcentral. Lineage: Eukaryota; Metazoa; Arthropoda; Insecta; Lepidoptera; Bombycidae.